RNAcentral lists this unclassified non-coding RNA (395 nucleotides) under soil metagenome. Its description in RNAcentral is "partial contains 5.8S ribosomal RNA, internal transcribed spacer 2, and large subunit ribosomal RNA". The stretch from base 1 to 121 matches the Rfam family "5.8S ribosomal RNA", at positions 35 to 154 of the family's 154-position model. The record is from RNAcentral.
GAUGAAGAACGUUAGCGAAAUGCGAUAAGUAAUGUGAAUUGCAGAAUUCAGUGAAUCAUCGAAUCUUUGAACGCACCUUGCGCUCUUUGGUAUUCCAAGGAGCAUGCCUGUUUGAGUGUCAUGUAAUUCUCAACCUUUUCUGGCUUGUUAUAAGCUGGUUCAGGCUUGGACUAUGGAAGGUUGCUGGCUUCAUCGAGGUCAGCUCUUCUGAAAUACAUUAGCAAGAUUAUUGCUGCUCAUCUUUAAUAUGAUAAUUAUCUGUAUUAUUGAAGAGUCAGUCUCCUUUAUUGGAAAGUCUUGCUUCAAAUAGUCUCUUUCGAGACAAUACUUGACAAUUUUGACCUCAAAUCAGGUAGGACUACCCGCUGAACUUAAGCAUAUCAAUAAGCGGAGGA